This 554-nucleotide ribosomal RNA is filed under the name uncultured Paraglomus. RNAcentral's name for it is "SSU rRNA". It matches the Rfam family "Eukaryotic small subunit ribosomal RNA", at positions 548 to 1103 of the family's 1831-position model. Lineage: Eukaryota; Fungi; Glomeromycota; Glomeromycetes; Paraglomerales; Paraglomeraceae. The record is from RNAcentral.
UUGGAGGGCAAGUCUGGUGCCAGCAGCCGCGGUAAUUCCAGCUCCAAUAGCGUAUAUUAAAGUUGUUGCAGUUAAAAAGCUCGUAGUUGAAUUUCAGGCCUGGCUGGACGGUCCGCCCUUCGGGUGAGUACUGUCUGUGGUCGGGUCCUACCUUCUGGCGAAGCGUCAUGGCCUUAACCGGCCGUGGCGGGGAACCAGGACUUUUACUGUGAAAAAAUUAGAGUGUUCAAAGCAGGCAAUCGCUUGGAUACAUUAGCAUGGAAUAAUGGAAUAGGACAAUGGUUCUAUUUGUUGGUUUCUAGGACCGUUGUAAUGAUUAAUAGGGAUAGUUGGGGGCAUUAGUAUUCAAUUGUCAGAGGUGAAAUUCUUGGAUUUAUUGAAGACUAACUACUGCGAAAGCAUUUGCCAAGGAUGUUUUCAUUAAUCAAGAACGAAAGUUAGGGGAUCGAAGACGAUCAGAUACCGUCGUAGUCUUAACCAUAAACUAUGCCGACUAGGGAUCGGAUGAUGUUAAUUUUUUAAUGACUCAUUCGGCACCCUAUGGGAAACCAAAG